Molecule: ribosomal RNA, 265 nt
Filed under: uncultured bacterium
Lineage: Bacteria
Description: partial 16S ribosomal RNA
Rfam family: Bacterial small subunit ribosomal RNA
Source: RNAcentral
GUCCUAGCCCUAAACGAUGGGCACUAAGUAGAGGGGAUCCGAUAUUCUCUCUGCCGGAGCAAAAGUGUUAAGUGCCCCGCCUGGGGAGUAUGGUCGCAAGGCUGAAACUCAAAAGGAAUUGACGGGGGCUCACACAAGCGGUGGAGCAUGUUGUUCAAUUCGAAGCAACGCGAAGAACCUUACCUGGGUUUGACAUGCUUGGGACAGCCUAUGAAAGUAGGCCUUCUCUUCGGAGACCCUUGCACAGGUGUUGCAUGGCUGUCGU